UAUUUUUUAUUAUUUUACACAUAUUGUAUGUCUGUUUUAUUAAAUACACACUACACCAGCGAUUCCCAAAGUGUGGGCUGCGAAGGUACUGCAGGUGGGCCGCGAGAGGUAAUUUACAAUAAAUAAAUUAAAUGUUUUUAAUUUUAAAUUUUGGAAAGUUAGAAAUUAAUAUAAAAAUAUUUAGGAUUUAAAUUCCGUGUUAUUCUUUUAUCUGACCUAUUUUUGAUCCGUUCGCUCGAAACGGCUGCUCUUGUCCCGGCUGUCGUUAUUCAACAAAAGGCGCUGCCAAACAAAACAAUGUCAAAUGGGGCGCCCUCUUGUAGUAUUAAAGUAAAUAUAUAUGAGCUCCUGAGAAAAUGGUAUACAAAACAUACAUUGUCGGUUAAUACAUUUUUAAUCGGUUAUAUUCUUAAGGUCAUUUAAUCAUCCCUAGUUUAUGUUUUGAUCAGAGUUGUGAUUAAAGGUUUGGAUGGGCCGCAAAAGAUUUUCAGAUUUCAAAUUGGGCCGCGGCAUUCUUGAGUUUGGGAACCGUUGCACUACAUCUACACUUCUGCUCAUUUGUAAAGCACUUUGAAUUGGUGUAUAAAGUGUGCUAGGCCUAUUUUAAAUGAAUUAAUUGAUAUUGGUGAAUGAGGCCCUUUGUGCUGUGGAUGGAUGAAGCAUUAUUAUGUUGCAUUUUUUACUAGUUCACUCGGCUUUCUAUGCUUAGUAAAGUUAGUAAUGUGGACUGAUUGUUUUUUAGUCCUUAAGCAUUACUAUCAAUUUGAAUUCUUUACAAAACAUUAUUACAUCAGAGAUUUGUGUACUUCUAAGGACUCUUCCAAAUACCUCAAUUCCUGUCAAUAAAUGAUAGUUUUAGGUGGAUGUUGUGCAAACACAGACAGUCCAACUCUGUACUUGAUACUAAUUGAUAUCAACACUGCACUGGAGAAGGUUUGAGGACAAUGAUACUUUAAAAAUGUUAAUUUUUCCUCUCACGCUUGUCUCAGUUGUUGGGAAUCCCCAGAGGAUGUAAAAAGAAACUCAGCUUACCAUCAUGCUCCCAGCUGCAGCAACAAAACCCAUUAUUUUACAGUAUAUUCUCAGACGCAAAAAGUUAUUGUAGUUGUUAAAUAAACAGAUCUGGAAUUUCAUCCCAGAGUCCAAGCUGUGCUGAGGUGUUCAUCUUUCUUCCAUCAAUUAUUUUCCCACCGUUUUUGUCUCGUGUGUGUCAGCAAAUAAAUGAACCUUAAGUAAUCUUGACGCAUACAUGCCAUUUUUUUCAUUUUGAAACAUCUUUGUAAAGAUAUGUGUAAGGUAAUGAAGCUAAGUUGAUAUAUUUGUCUCCAUAAUAACAAUUGUGUCUGUCUGAGUACGGUUUUAACUUAGGCUGAUGAAAUGAUGUUGUAUGGCCACCUGGGGGCACCUGAAACAAGCCGAAAUACAACAUUAUGAACUGUAUGAGGAACUUUCAGUUUUGUUGAUUUUUUCCAGUCCAUGUGAACUAAAGUGGAAGUGUCUCCGACCACCGGACAUGGAAAUAUGUCCGUCACUGCAGCUGGGGUCCUGCAGUCAGUCCCACAACGUCCUGGUCCUGGCUCUGGUUCUGGUCGGUGCCUUUCUUCCC
Long non-coding RNA from Gasterosteus aculeatus aculeatus (three-spined stickleback), 1606 nucleotides. The record is from Ensembl. Lineage: Eukaryota; Metazoa; Chordata; Actinopteri; Perciformes; Gasterosteidae.